AAUUCUGCCCUACAAGAGGUUAGUACCUAUUUAUAUAUAUACUUCUUUGAUUCCAUGCUAGAAACUUGAAAUAAGUGAGAAAUUGUAAAUUAAAUGAAUAAAAUUUAAGUGUAUGUAUCCCUUGAAUUUCGGCAGCCCUAAGGAAGGAAUGAUUUUGAUUGUUUUGAGGGACUUAGAGUGGACUAGAGAUGAUGUUUAAGGUAUAUAUAUACAUGGAUAAUGAAUUAGUGUGCUAACUAGGGUAUCUUGUGUGAAUUGAAAUGGGAAGCUAGGGUUUUGGGAGUGAAAAUUUGACUUGGCUUAUGAA
Molecule: unclassified non-coding RNA, 307 nt
Filed under: Hevea brasiliensis (rubber tree)
Lineage: Eukaryota; Viridiplantae; Streptophyta; Magnoliopsida; Malpighiales; Euphorbiaceae
Source: RNAcentral